UUCAGAAUAGCUUAAAAUAAAGCAUUGAUUUUGUAAUUCAAAGAUAUAUUAUUGUUUCUGAAA
This 63-nucleotide transfer RNA is filed under the name Planorbarius corneus. RNAcentral's name for it is "tRNA-Thr". It matches the Rfam family "tRNA". Rfam says of the family: Transfer RNA (tRNA) molecules are approximately 80 nucleotides in length. Their secondary structure includes four short double-helical elements and three loops (D, anti-codon, and T loops). Lineage: Eukaryota; Metazoa; Mollusca; Gastropoda; Planorbidae. The record is from RNAcentral.